AUGAACGCUGGCGGCGUGCCUAAUACAUGCAAGUCGAGCGAACGGACGAGAAGCUUGCUUCUCUGAUGUUAGCGGCGGACGGGUGAGUAACACGUGGAUAACCUACCUAUAAGACUGGGAUAACUUCGGGAAACCGGAGCUAAUACCGGAUAAUAUUUUGAACCGCAUGGUUCAAAAGUGAAAGACGGUCUUGCUGUCACUUGUAGAUGGAUCCGCGCUGCAUUAGCUAGUUGGUAAGGUAACGGCUUACCAAGGCAACGAUGCAUAGCCGACCUGAGAGGGUGAUCGGCCACACUGGAACUGAGACACGGUCCAGACUCCUACGGGAGGCAGCAGUAGGGAAUCUUCCGCAAUGGGCGAAAGCCUGACGGAGCAACGCCGCGUGAGUGAUGAAGGUCUUCGGAUCGUAAAACUCUGUUAUUAGGGAAGAACAUAUGUGUAAGUAACUGUGCACAUCUUGACGGUACCUAAUCAGAAAGCCACGGCUAACUACGUG
This 496-nucleotide ribosomal RNA is filed under the name uncultured bacterium. RNAcentral's name for it is "partial 16S ribosomal RNA". It matches the Rfam family "Bacterial small subunit ribosomal RNA", at positions 29 to 507 of the family's 1533-position model. The record is from RNAcentral.